UGAACAGGACAGCAUGGUUUCACGGAAGAGUGGGGAGAUUAGCUGCAUUUGCACUUAUCAUUCUGUACUUGGAAUCACUGUUAUUUUCUGAUAGGGUUUAGAAAAGAAAUACUCUGAUAUUGAUUUCUUGUUUCUGGCCUCCAGAAAAAAACAUCACACACAAAGUCUGACUUAUAUCUGGACUGCAAUCAACACUGCAAGACAGACAAUUUAAGAAUGGUCCUGGCCCCCAGCCUACUGCCUCUUCACAUCCUCUCUUGCUGGUGAUGGAGGAACUUCCAAGAGCAGCAGAGAUGAUUUGCCCUGGAGUGGAGUCAGAUUAACAGGAACAUCUGUCUCAGUCAUUCACAAAAGAGAACUGCACAGUAUCUGUUUGAACGUUACCAGUUCUUCCAAGAGCGAGCAGUCACAACUGUAUCAACAUAAUCAAUAUGCCUAAAGAAAUUAAAAUACACUCUUCUGUGGUAAGGAUGGUGCAAGUCUGUGGACAAAAUUCUUCAUAGGGGACCUCUAAGCUACUUCUGAAAGAGCUGGGAUCCUUCACAAUAAAGCCUCCUGAAGAAAUGCA
This 568-nucleotide long non-coding RNA is filed under the name Cyanistes caeruleus (blue tit). RNAcentral describes it as "lncRNA (ENSCCEG00000009312.1)". The record is from RNAcentral. Lineage: Eukaryota; Metazoa; Chordata; Aves; Passeriformes; Paridae.